Strongylocentrotus purpuratus (purple sea urchin) is the source of this 46-nucleotide non-coding RNA. The record is from Rfam. NCBI's taxonomy places the organism in Eukaryota, Metazoa, Echinodermata, Echinoidea, Camarodonta, Strongylocentrotidae.
CCAACGGCCCUUUUAAGGGCCACCAAAUGACAAGAAAGAUUGAAUU